This 145-nucleotide unclassified non-coding RNA is filed under the name uncultured fungus. RNAcentral's name for it is "sequence contains ITS2". RNAcentral also lists the same sequence under 1 other name. Lineage: Eukaryota; Fungi. The record is from RNAcentral.
CACACCUUGCGCUCCGCGCAGUGUUGGGCGCAGCCUUCAGGGCUCGCCUCAAAUCCAGUGGCAGCACUUCAGAGCUCCUACGCGCAGUGAUCACCGCCGCCGGUGGAGUCUUGUGGUCGCUAGCUAGUCAACCCCCACUUUGCUA